GAACAGCAAGAGGGGAGCCAGCUUAAAAGGUGAAGUCCAGCAGAGCUGAAAAGAUGGGGACACAGAAUGAAAGCGGAAAGAAAGUUCAGCUCUUUGUAAAUUGAUCAGAAGGAUGGAUCCUGUUUGGAAGGAUAGACAGAAUGCAAGGCUGACUGGCAAAUAACUUCAAAAAAUUUAAGGUGAAGGAGAAAAUAGAAUCUGAACCUCCCUGGUUCUGUGCCAAACUUUCUAAUAAUUCAACAUAAAGGGAGACAAGGAGGACUGUGAUGAGCAACACAGUCAGCUCACCGGGAAACAAAACUGAAGAAACCUCCUCUUCUGAGAAUCGCAGUAGGGUUGAGGUUUUGCUGCUUGGAAAGGUGUCUGUAGAUUUCAGAAACCUGCAGGUUUUGUUCCAUGGGCUUAUGGACUUCAUAACCUUAAAUUCCUUCACUAUUUUACUGUCUUGUAAAACACACUUAGGCAUUUCCAGAGAUGCUGAGGAAUAUAACAGCUUCUGUGCCUGAGACCAUGCACUUUUCUACAGAAACAUCCUUUUAUUUAUCUCUCAGUUUUGUCUGAUUCAACUGAGAGGCUCACUGUUGCUGCAAGGACAUGUGUACAAAACCUCACACAACCCUGGCCUUUGAUGUCUCCCGAGGAAAGGAAAAUUCUUUUCCUUUCCCAGAGACAUUCAGUUGAAGUUUUUCUGUGCUGAGGCAGCACCAGCUCAGUCCAUGCUCAGGAGCUGCCUACUCUCCAAUAUGGGUUUAAGACAUGUCCCUAUCUGGUUUGGCAGUAUUUUCUACUUGCUUUAGAAAAAUGUUGCCUAUAAGUACAGGGAUGUAGGUUUCAAAAAACAACAUCUAAAUGUACAAAGAGCUGUUUGAGGCCUAAAUUUCUUCUUGGACUCAGGACUUCCUAUCUUCCAUAGCCAAAACUCCGCAAUGGUUCAGAUUAAAUGAUUGAAUGACCCUUUCUGCAUUUCAGUACUGAAUGGAAAAAGUAUUCUGGGAUAAGAACACAAUCAUAGAAAACUUUUGGCCAGAAAGGACACUUGGAAAUAUCUAGUGCCACUUCUCUGCUCAAGUCAAGCCUAGCUUCCAAUUUGGGUGAGGCAGCUCAGAGCCUGAUUUAGGGUUCAGUCAAGGUCUGAACUUUACCAAGGCUGGAGCUUCCACUAUUUCCUCCAGUGUUUAACUACACCCAUGGUGAUUUUGGGGGUUUUUAUGUUCUUAUCUUCCUUAUAUUCUAAAUGAAGAACAAGGAGUUUCCCAUGAUCAGGAAGAAAAGUGGUGUUCAUGAGAAGGGGCUGUUUAGAGAAAUCAGAUAAAUUAGUGCAGAGAAAAGAGAUUAUUCAGGGAAUAAUCCUGCCUCUCAGUAGCCUCUAAGCCAAUUUCUUCAGAUGAAAACUUGAUCACAAGGUGAGCUUUGCAAAGGUUUCAUACUUCUCACUCUCACAAUAAUGCUCCAAUUAUCAAGAAUCUUAAUUGCUAAAACAAACUAAGGGAAAAAAAUAUUCAGCAUUCCAUUUUUAGCUGCAGGCAGCUGCAGCUGGGCAUGAUUAUAAUAGAAAUGAUUAGUUGCCCAUGGAAAUUGCAAUGACAUUUGCAAAUAAACUUCCCCAAGUUUACAUUUGAAGACUAUUAAAAACAAUAUGGUCAGUUGUUUAGUCGGGUCAAGCAGUUAGAUGUUCCCUACAGGUGUCUUCCCAGAAUCUCAUCAUCCGAGUUUUUAAAAAGCAACCAUUUCAUUGCUUCUCAUUGUCUGUCUAACACUCUGGGCUCAAAUGAGUUCUUCAAACAUAGUCAAAUGAUCUUCACUUUUCUACUUAAUCUCUUUAUGGCACAGGGAUUUCAUUUGGUAUUUCAGGGAAAGCAUUUCCAACAGACAUCCAAACACAGCUGAAAUCUUAUUGAAAUAUUUCCCUCCUGCAAUAUAGAGAAUAACUACCAACCCAGCACAUCAGUGUCAUUUAGAUUACUGCUGAGACCCUUCAAACUGCUAGGUCUGUGGAGAAGCUCACCUUAAUCUGUAAUGCAGACAACUUUAGGAAGAUUAUUUUAAUGUGGCACAACCAAUUAAUUAACAACAGAAUGACCUUAGCAAUUCACAUCACACCAGGAUAAUUGAUUCCAUGCAGUCAUGCCUCUGAAGGGGUAUUAAAGCAUAGCUUAGAUGUGCUGAGUGACAGAAAUGUAGAGAUAUCACCACAAAGUGAUAUACAGGUGGAAGUUGCAUCAGUACAGCUGCUAAUGUGGAGUCACACCUGGAUCAUUAAAGUAAUCCCAAAGUCUGUGUGAGUAUGCGUUUCAGCAGCAGAAUUGCUUACUGUUAGAUUGUCUUAUGACUGGCUCUAAAAGGAGUAUUUUUGGAAUAGCUCUUACGCCAAAGCUAUCCCAAAAUAAAAAUCUCAAUCGUGAAGUAAACCAUUCUCUGUAUGACACCCUUUAAGUCCCUUUUAAACACCUCUGUCAUGCAAUCAGCACUCUUUUUCUUAUUUCUUUCAAGGUCCAGCUGCUUU
This is a long non-coding RNA of Taeniopygia guttata (zebra finch), 2503 nucleotides long. NCBI's taxonomy places the organism in Eukaryota, Metazoa, Chordata, Aves, Passeriformes, Estrildidae. The record is from Ensembl.